CCUACGGGAGGCAGCAGUGAGGAAUAUUGCGCAAUGGGCGAAAGCCUGAAGCAGCAACGCCGCGUGCGCGAUGAAGGUCUUCGGAUCGUAAAGCGCUUUUGAGAGGGACGAGAUAGGACGGUACCUCUUGAAUAAGUCACGGCUAACUACGUGCCAGCAGCCGCGGUAAAACGUAGGUGGCAAGCGUUAUCCGGAUUCACUGGGCGUAAAGCGAGUGCAGGUGGUUGCGUAAGUUGGAUGUGAAAUUUCCCAGCCUAACUGGGAAGGGUCAUUCAAUACUGCGCGACUUGAGGGCAGAAGAGGGGGGUGGAAUUGCCGGUGUAGUGGUGAAAUGCGUAGAUAUCGGCAGGAACACCUGUGGCGAAAGCGGCCCCCUGGUCUGAUCCUGACACUCAGACUCGAAAGCUAGGGUAGCGAACGGGAUUAGAUACCCCUGUAGUC
This 441-nucleotide ribosomal RNA is filed under the name uncultured Anaerolineaceae bacterium. RNAcentral describes it as "bacterial SSU rRNA". It matches the Rfam family "Bacterial small subunit ribosomal RNA", at positions 338 to 795 of the family's 1533-position model. The record is from RNAcentral. Lineage: Bacteria; Bacillati; Chloroflexota; Anaerolineae; Anaerolineales; Anaerolineaceae.